RNAcentral lists this ribosomal RNA (500 nucleotides) under uncultured bacterium. RNAcentral describes it as "partial 16S ribosomal RNA". It matches the Rfam family "Bacterial small subunit ribosomal RNA", at positions 30 to 523 of the family's 1533-position model. The record is from RNAcentral.
AUUGAACGCUGGCGGAAUGCUUUACACAUGCAAGUCGAACGGCAGCACGGACUUCGGUCUGGUGGCGAGUGGCGAACGGGUGAGUAAUGUAUCGGAACGUGCCCAGUCGUGGGGGAUAACGUAGUGAAAAUUACGCUAAUACCGCAUACGAUCUAUGGAUGAAAGCGGGGGAUCGCAAGACCUCGCGCGAUUGGAGCGGCCGAUAUCAGAUUAGGUAGUUGGUGGGGUAAAGGCCCACCAAGUCAACGAUCCGUAGCUGGUCUGAGAGGACGACCAGCCACACUGGAACUGAGACACGGUCCAGACUCCUACGGGAGGCAGCAGUGGGGAAUUUUGGACAAUGGGCGAAAGCCUGAUCCAGCCAUUCCGCGUGCAGGAUGAAGGCCCUCGGGUUGUAAACUGCUUUUGUACAGAACGAAAAGGUUUCUACUAAUACUAGGAGCUCAUGACGGUACUGAAAGAAUAAGCACCGGCUAACUACGUGCCAGCCGCCGCAGUAA